Molecule: ribosomal RNA, 630 nt
Filed under: Udeniomyces megalosporus
Lineage: Eukaryota; Fungi; Basidiomycota; Tremellomycetes; Cystofilobasidiales; Mrakiaceae
Description: eukaryotic LSU rRNA
Rfam family: Eukaryotic large subunit ribosomal RNA
Source: RNAcentral
UAAGCGGAGGAAAAGAAACUAACAAGGAUUCCCCUAGUAACGGCGAGUGAAGCGGGAUGAGCUCAAAUUUAAAAUCUGGCAGUCUAAGAUUGUCCGAGUUGUAGUCUAGAGAAGCGUUUUCCGCGUAGGCCUGUGUACAAGUCCCUUGGAAUAGGGCGUCAUAGAGGGUGAGAAUCCCGUCCUUGACACAGAUCAUCUAUGCUUUGCGAUGCGCUCUCGAAGAGUCGAGUUGUUUGGGAAUGCAGCUCAAAAUGGGUGGUAAAUUCCAUCUAAAGCUAAAUAUUGGCGAGAGACCGAUAGCGAACAAGUACCGUGAGGGAAAGAUGAAAAGCACUUUGGAAAGAGAGUUAAACAGUACGUGAAAUUGUUGAAAGGGAAACGAUUGAAGUCAGUCAUGUGGUUCGAGAUUCAGCCGGUUCUGCCGGUGUAUUUCUCGAGCUACAGGCCAGCAUCAGUUUCGACCGGUGGAAAAAGUUGGAGGGAACGUGGCAUCCUCGGAUGUGUUAUAGCCCUCUUUCAGAUGCAUCGGACGGGACUGAGGAACGCAGCGUGCCUUUAUGGUCGGUCUUCGGACACGAACGCGCUUAGGAUGCUGGCAUAAUGGCUUUAAACGACCCGUCUUGAAACACG